UGGAAACCUGUGCACUUUGUAGAUGCCCUC
This 30-nucleotide non-coding RNA is filed under the name Mus musculus (house mouse). The record is from RNAcentral. Lineage: Eukaryota; Metazoa; Chordata; Mammalia; Rodentia; Muridae.